RNAcentral lists this ribosomal RNA (497 nucleotides) under uncultured bacterium. Its description in RNAcentral is "partial 16S ribosomal RNA". It matches the Rfam family "Bacterial small subunit ribosomal RNA", at positions 28 to 507 of the family's 1533-position model. The record is from RNAcentral.
GAUGAACGCUGGCGGCGUGCCUAAUACAUGCAAGUCGAGCGAACAGUCGAGGACCUUGCUCCUCUGACUUUAUCGGCGGACGGGUCAUUAACACGUGUUUAACCUACCUAUAAGACUGGGAUACUUUCGGCAAACCGUAGCUUCUACCCGAUAACAUAUUGCCCCUCAUUGUUUCACCGUUAAAGUCGGUUUUUCUUUCACUUAUAGAUUCAUCCGCGCCGCAUUAGCUAGUUGGUAAGGUAACGGGUUACCAAGGCAACGAUUCGUAGCCGACCUGAGAGGGGGAUCGGCAAAACGGGAAGUGAGACACGGACGAGACUACGACGGGAGGCAGCAGAAGGGAAGAGUCCGGAAUGGGGGAAAGCAGGACGGAGCAAAGCCGCGUGAGUGAAGAAGGUCUUAGGAUCGUAAAACGAUGAUAUUAGGGAAGAACAAAAGUGUAAGUAACUAUGCACGGCAUGACGGUACCUAAUCAGAAAGCCACGGCUAACUACGUG